RNAcentral lists this long non-coding RNA (556 nucleotides) under Homo sapiens (human). RNAcentral's name for it is "non-protein coding lnc-ATG3-3:2". The record is from RNAcentral. Lineage: Eukaryota; Metazoa; Chordata; Mammalia; Primates; Hominidae.
UAUGCCAUGGGGCUAUGUGGACUGAAAAGUGAUGAACCAGAGAGAGAGCUGGAAAGCAAAAUGAACUCUCUGACACAGCAGGAAGGGAAAUUAACCUGGUUGAUGCUCACCUUAAGAGUGAGCAAACAGAAGCAAGCACCAGGCAAAAUUCCCAAGUACUGCUAUCAGAAACUGGAAUUUAUGAUAAUGACCCUGACCUUUGUUUCAGGAUGCAGGAAGGGUCUGAAGUUUAUUCUAAUCCAUGCCUGGAAGAAAACAAACCAGGCAUUGUUUAUGCUUCCCUGAACCAUUCUGUCAUUGGACCGAACUCAAGACUGGCAAGAAAUGUAAAAGAAGCACCAACAGAAUAUGCAUCCAUAUGUGUGAGGAGUUAAGUCUGUUUCUGACUCCAACAGGGACCAUUGAAUGAUCAGCAUGUUGACAUCAUUGUCUGGGCUCAACAGGAUGUCAAAUAAUAUUUCUCAAUUUGAGAAUUUUUACUUUAGAAAUGUUCAUGUUAGUGCUUGGGUCUUAAGGGUCCAUAGGAUAAAUGAUUAAAAUUUCUCUCAGAAACUUA